CAGCCGCCGCGGUAAUACAGAGGGUGCGAGCGUUAAUCGGAUUUACUGGGCGUAAAGCGUGCGUAGGCGGCUUUUUAAGUCGGAUGUGAAAUCCCUGAGCUUAACUUAGGAAUUGCAUUCGAUACUGGGAAGCUAGAGUAUGGGAGAGGAUGGUAGAAUUCCAGGUGUAGCGGUGAAAUGCGUAGAGAUCUGGAGGAAUACCGAUGGCGAAGGCAGCCAUCUGGCCUAAUACUGACGCUGAGGUACGAAAGCAUGGGGAGCAAACAGGAUUAGAUACCCCGUAGUCCCUGUCUCUUAUACA
This 301-nucleotide ribosomal RNA is filed under the name uncultured bacterium. RNAcentral's name for it is "partial 16S ribosomal RNA". It matches the Rfam family "Bacterial small subunit ribosomal RNA", at positions 509 to 808 of the family's 1533-position model. The record is from RNAcentral.